CCUACGGGAGACAGCAGUGGGGGAUAUUGCACAAUGGGGGAAACCCUGAUGCAGCGACGCCGCGUGGGUGAAGAAGCGCCUCGGCGCGUAAAGCCCUGUCAGCAGGGAAGAAAAUGACGGUACCUGAAGAAGAAGCCCCGGCUAACUACGUGCCAGCAGCCGCGGUAAUACGUAGGGGGCAAGCGUUAUCCGGAUUUACUGGGUGUAAAGGGGGCGCAGACGGCGAUGCAAGCCAGGAGUGAAAGCCCGGGGCCCAACCCCGGGACUGCCCUUGGAACUGCGUGGCUAGAGUGCAGGAGGGGCGGGCGGAAUUCCUGGUGUAGCGGUGAAAUGCGUAGAUAUCAGGAGGAACACCGGUGGCGAAGGCGGCCUGCUGGACUGCAACUGACGUUGAGGCCCGAAAGCGUGGGGAGCAAACAGGAUUAGAUACCCCGGUAGUC
RNAcentral lists this ribosomal RNA (440 nucleotides) under uncultured bacterium. RNAcentral describes it as "partial 16S ribosomal RNA". It matches the Rfam family "Bacterial small subunit ribosomal RNA", at positions 338 to 795 of the family's 1533-position model. The record is from RNAcentral.